Molecule: ribosomal RNA, 748 nt
Filed under: uncultured bacterium
Lineage: Bacteria
Description: bacterial SSU rRNA
Rfam family: Bacterial small subunit ribosomal RNA
Source: RNAcentral
AGAGUUUGAUCCUGGCUCAGAUUGAACGCUGGCGGCAUGCCUUACACAUGCAAGUCGAACGGCAGCGCGGACUUCGGUCUGGCGGCGAGUGGCGAACGGGUGAGUAAUACAUCGGAACGUACCCUGUUGUGGGGGAUAACUAGUCGAAAGAUUAGCUAAUACCGCAUACGACCUGAGGGUGAAAGCGGGGGACCGAAAGGCCUCGCGCAGCAGGAGCGGCCGAUGUCUGAUUAGCUAGUUGGUGGGGUAAAGGCCCACCAAGGCGACGAUCAGUAGCUGGUCUGAGAGGACGAUCAGCCACACUGGGACUGAGACACGGCCCAGACUCCUACGGGAGGCAGCAGUGGGGAAUUUUGGACAAUGGGGGCAACCCUGAUCCAGCAAUGCCGCGUGUGUGAAGAAGGCCUUCGGGUUGUAAAGCACUUUUGUCCGGAAAGAAAUUGCUCUGGCUAAUACCUGGGGUAGAUGACGGUACCGGAAGAAUAAGCACCGGCUAACUACGUGCCAGCAGCCGCGGUAAUACGUAGGGUGCGAGCGUUAAUCGGAAUUACUGGGCGUAAAGCGUGCGCAGGCGGUUUUGUAAGACAGGCGUGAAAUCCCCGGGCUCAACCUGGGAAUUGCGCUUGUGACUGCAAGGCUAGAGUGCGUCAGAGGGGGGUAGAAUUCCACGUGUAGCAGUGAAAUGCGUAGAGAUGUGGAGGAAUACCGAUGGCGAAGGCAGCCCCCUGGGACGUGACUGACGCUCAUG